ACAAAAAAAAAACCAAGUUUAUUAAACAAGUAAAAGCCUUAUUGUUAUACUGGGAAUGUAUUCAUUUUACUGUUUUAAAUUCUGAGUGCAGUGAAGAAGCUUAUAGUUUUACAAAGAUGUUUUUUUUUUUUUUUAUCUGUGCGUAACUGUUCUACUAGAAUACUUGCUCGGAUUUCUACGUGUGGCACCUUUUCUGAUAGGAAAUCGAAGUGGGGAGAUACUUUAGGGAGGUCAUUUUAAUGGUUUUCUCAUCAAAUUUAAAAUACCGUAAAAAAAUAAACUGGAAAAUGUACGAAAUAUAUUACUAAAGUAUGACUUUCUUUUUCCUGUGCAUAACUUUUCUACCAGCAAUUUUGCUCCAACUUUUAAUGAUAGCAGUAUUUCUAAAAGGCACUUUUACUAGAAAGGUACUUUAGAGAUGUGAUUUUUCAAUUUUCCCAGGAGUUUUCCCAACAAAUUGAAAAACCGGGAAAAAACAUGGGAAAACCCGGAAAAACUUACAAAAACUGGGAAAAUCGGUGCAACACCAAACAAAUAUUAUCAAAAAAAAUAUGAAAAGCCUAAUUAAUUAUUUUACUAUAAAAUGACAUAUAUAUAUUGUUGACAAAGCAUCACUAUUAACUGAACUCCGCUCAGAAUCGUUUUUUCGUAAGCAAUGGUUUAUUGUUGAUUACAAGUAUACAUUAAAUUAUCAAUAACAGUGGCUGCACCCAUCCCCAAUAUCCUAAGACGUUUUUUUUCUUGUUUUUGCGUAUCAUGUUGCAAUUAUCAACUGUAGUAUUGUAAUAAAGUAAAUAAAGGGGUGCAACACAAAUGAAUGUAUAACCACUAAUCACUUAAAUUACUUAUUACAGCCUACGACGGUAAGAAACAAUUAAUAUAAGAUACACUGUGAAGGGUAACAACAAUAUACUUACCUAUCCUGAACGGAGUAUCCCCAGCAACAAUGUUGAGUUUGAACACAGGUAUAAUUAUAUUUAUUUAUUAUGUUGAUGAAAAUAGAUAGUAGGUAUGAUAAAAUAAACACUUGAUUAAGUUAAAAAUGAUGACAUCGGAAUGUUAGAAGACGGUACAACACGCAAUCGCGGGGAGACGAAAAAAAUGACGAGUCGCCAAGGCAGGAUCCGGUGGCCGAAUGAGUCGAGGAGUCUCUUAUGAGAAAGAAAGGGGAAAAUAGUGGAGUGGUGUUGUCCGGUUCUCAUUAUCAUGUUUUAUUAUUAUAUGCGAUAUUUAACUGUAAUACAUAUUAUUUUGUCUUAA
Molecule: non-coding RNA, 1260 nt
Organism: Cinara cedri
Lineage: Eukaryota; Metazoa; Arthropoda; Insecta; Hemiptera; Aphididae
Source: the annotation of a GenBank genome assembly